GACGAACGCUGGCGGCGUGCUUAACACAUGCAAGUCGAACGGAGGAUUUAUUUCGGUAAAUCCUUAGUGGCGAACGGGUGAGUAACGCGUGGGCAAUCUGCCCUUCAGAUGGGGACAACAUCCCGAAAGGGGUGCUAAUACCGAAUACGAUCACGCUGCCGCAUGGCGGUGUGAUGAAAGAUGGCCUCUAUUUAUAAGCUAUCGCUGAAGGAUGAGCCUGCGUCUGAUUAGCUAGUUGGUGGGGUAACGGCCUACCAAGGCGAUGAUCAGUAGCCGGUCUGAGAGGAUGAACGACCACAUUGGGACUGAGACACGGCCCAAACUCCUACGGGAGGCAGCAGUGGGGAAUAUUCCGCAAUGGACGAAAGUCUGACGGAGCAACGCCGCGUGAGUGAUGAAGGUUUUCGGACUGUAAAGCUCUGUUGUUUAGGACGGAAGUGCCUGUUGCAAAUAGUUACAGGUAUUGACGGUACUGAACGAGGAAGCCACGGCUAACUACGUGCCAGCCGCCGCGGUAA
This 518-nucleotide ribosomal RNA is filed under the name uncultured bacterium. RNAcentral's name for it is "partial 16S ribosomal RNA". It matches the Rfam family "Bacterial small subunit ribosomal RNA", at positions 28 to 523 of the family's 1533-position model. The record is from RNAcentral.